Molecule: ribosomal RNA, 189 nt
Filed under: uncultured Staphylococcus sp.
Lineage: Bacteria; Bacillati; Bacillota; Bacilli; Caryophanales; Staphylococcaceae
Description: partial 16S ribosomal RNA
Rfam family: Bacterial small subunit ribosomal RNA
Source: RNAcentral
GGAAACCGGAGACUAAUACCGGAUAAUAUUUUGAACCGCAUGGUUCAAAAGUGAAAGACGGUCUUGCUGUCACUUAUAGAUGGAUCCGCGCUGCAUUAGCUAGUUGGUAAGGUAACGGCUUACCAAGGCAACGAUGCAUAGCCGACCUGAGAGGGUGAUCGGCCACACUGGAACUGAGACACGGUCCAG